GCGGGUGUAGCUCAGUGGUAAAGCACAUGCUUAGCAUGCACACGGUCCUGGGUUCAAUCCCCAGUACCUCCA
RNAcentral lists this transfer RNA (72 nucleotides) under Camelus bactrianus (Bactrian camel). It matches the Rfam family "tRNA". From Rfam's summary of the family: Transfer RNA (tRNA) molecules are approximately 80 nucleotides in length. The record is from Rfam by way of RNAcentral. Lineage: Eukaryota; Metazoa; Chordata; Mammalia; Artiodactyla; Camelidae. RNAcentral also lists the same sequence under 2 other names.